GACGGGCCUGCCGCGGGUGGCGGGCCCCCGGACGAGCGGCGCCGUACCCGGAGAGCGACAAGACGGCAGCCAC
RNAcentral lists this non-coding RNA (73 nucleotides) under Cellulomonas sp. Lineage: Bacteria; Bacillati; Actinomycetota; Actinomycetes; Micrococcales; Cellulomonadaceae. RNAcentral also lists the same sequence under 1 other name. The record is from RNAcentral.